RNAcentral lists this ribosomal RNA (465 nucleotides) under Vreelandella stevensii. Its description in RNAcentral is "partial 16S ribosomal RNA". It matches the Rfam family "Bacterial small subunit ribosomal RNA", at positions 338 to 795 of the family's 1533-position model. The record is from RNAcentral. Lineage: Bacteria; Pseudomonadati; Pseudomonadota; Gammaproteobacteria; Oceanospirillales; Halomonadaceae.
CCUACGGGUGGCAGCAGUGGGGAAUAUUGGACAAUGGGCGAAAGCCUGAUCCAGCCAUGCCGCGUGUGUGAAGAAGGCCUUCGGGUUGUAAAGCACUUUCAGUGGGGAAGAAAGCCUUGGGGCUAAUACCCUCGAGGAAGGACAUCACCCACAGAAGAAGCACCGGCUAACUCCGUGCCAGCAGCCGCGGUAAUACGGAGGGUGCGAGCGUUAAUCGGAAUUACUGGGCGUAAAGCGCGCGUAGGCGGUCUGAUAAGCCGGUUGUGAAAGCCCCGGGCUCAACCUGGGAACGGCAUCCGGAACUGUCAGGCUAGAGUGCAGGAGAGGAAGAUAGAAUUCCCGGUGUAGCGGUGAAAUGCGUAGAGAUCGGGAGGAAUACCAGUGGCGAAGGCGGCCUUCUGGACUUACACUGACGCUGAGGUGCGAAAGCGUGGGUAGCAAACAGGAUUAGAUACCCUGGUAGUC